This 348-nucleotide ribosomal RNA is filed under the name Lachnospiraceae bacterium oral taxon 373. Its description in RNAcentral is "bacterial SSU rRNA". It matches the Rfam family "Bacterial small subunit ribosomal RNA", at positions 402 to 769 of the family's 1533-position model. Lineage: Bacteria; Bacillati; Bacillota; Clostridia; Lachnospirales; Lachnospiraceae. The record is from RNAcentral.
UGAGUGAAGAAGUAUUUCGGUAUGUAAAGCUCUAUCAGCAGGGAAGAAGAUGACGGUACCUGAGUAAGAAGCCCCGGCUAACUACGUGCCAGCAGCCGCGGUAAUACGUAGGGGGCAAGCGUUAUCCGGAUUUACUGGGUGUAAAGGGAGCGCAGACGGCAGCGUAAGUCCUGAAGUGAAAGCCCGCGGCUUAACCGCGGGACUGCUUUGGAAACUACGCGGCUUGAGUGUCGGAGGGGCAGGCGGAAUUCCUGGUGUAGCGGUGAAAUGCGUAAUAUCAGGAAGAACACCGGUGGCAAGGCGGCCUGCUGGACGACAACUGACGUUGAGGCUCAAAGGCUGGGGAGC